GUCCCUGUAGUACAAUAAAUAGCGCGUUGGACUUCUAGUCCAAAGGUAGGGAGUUCGAAUCUCACCUGGGAUG
Non-coding RNA from Trichonephila clavata, 73 nucleotides. NCBI's taxonomy places the organism in Eukaryota, Metazoa, Arthropoda, Arachnida, Araneae, Nephilidae. The record is from the annotation of a GenBank genome assembly.